Non-coding RNA from Drosophila persimilis, 76 nucleotides. Lineage: Eukaryota; Metazoa; Arthropoda; Insecta; Diptera; Drosophilidae. The record is from Rfam.
CCAGUCAAUGUCAAGUGUUGCCCCGGACUGACUUACUACAAAAGUUAAUUGCACUGCACGCGCACGCCAAGAGGCU